This 491-nucleotide ribosomal RNA is filed under the name uncultured bacterium. RNAcentral's name for it is "partial 16S ribosomal RNA". It matches the Rfam family "Bacterial small subunit ribosomal RNA", at positions 29 to 507 of the family's 1533-position model. The record is from RNAcentral.
AGUGAACGCUGGCGGUAGGCCUAACACAUGCAAGUCGAACGGCAGCACAGUAAGAGCUUGUUCUUACGGGUGGCGAGUGGCGGACGGGUGAGGAAUACAUCGGAAUCUACUUUUUCGUGGGGAUAACGUAGGGAAACUUACGCUAAUACCGCAUACGACCUACGGGUGAAAGCAGGGGAUCUUCGGACCUUGCGCGAUUGAAUGAGCCGAUGUCGGAUUAGCUAGUUGGCGGGGUAAAGGCCCACCAAGGCGACGAUCCGUAGCUGGUCUGAGAGGAUGAUCAGCCACACUGGAACUGAGACACGGUCCAGACUCCUACGGGAGGCAGCAGUGGGGAAUAUUGGACAAUGGGCGCAAGCCUGAUCCAGCCAUACCGCGUGGGUGAAGAAGGCCUUCGGGUUGUAAAGCCCUUUUGUUGGGAAAGAAAAGCAGCAGGUUAAUACCCCGCUGUUCUGACGGUACCCAAAGAAUAAGCACCGGCUAACUUCGUG